UGCUGCUCGCAACCAGUGCGUUAAAAUGGAAAAGAUGGAUGGCGAUUAAGAAAUGUGUCCAGAAUUUUAACACGUCAUGUAAGGUAAUUAAACUUUACGAAAAUAGACAUGGUUAGAAGAUCUACACAACUUCACCUAGGUUUCUACACAUUUUGUAAAUUUCAAAAUGGCAGCCAUUUUUGUUUUCGGUAUUUUAAAUUGAUGAAACCAGAAUUGUAGUUUGAACACAACCGUCUGUGUUCUACUUGAAUUUGUAACAUUUGGAACGCUGAUUAAAUUUGAAUCGAUGCGUAUAGCGAUAUUUUGUCUCGUUACUCUUCUUUUGCGUGGAAUUCUAAAGGACUAUUUCGAGUUCCGUAAAUGGGAAAGCUCACAAUCAAUAAUACUACGCAAUGUUAGAUUCAGCAAAUUUAAUGUGUUUUUGCUUUUAUUUUUAAAUUAAAGACUACUUUUUUUAUUGCAUCAGAAAUAAAUUAAAUAAAAAAAUAUUGUAGGAUAAAUACAAUACUAUGUAAGUGUGAGUGUGUAUUUAAAUUUAUCCCACUCGUCUAAGAAAGGCUUACAAGGCUCGGCAAGCCUCGCCAUGUAAACCUUUCUUCUCUCGUGGAAUAAAUUUAAGUACACAAUCACACUAACAUAUUAUUCUCUAUGUUUAAAGCAUCUAACGAAUCAAAAACGUAUUUCGGAUUGUAUUUGUUAUGCAUAACACCUUAAGAACAGACACUGGAAGUGUAUAUCGUUGUAACUUUAUUGUUAUUAGCAUUGGAUUAAAGUUGACAUUUAGGUAAAUAUGUCCUUUAUACUAAAUUGAGUUCUUUAUGACUCCUGUCAAAGCGUAAAUAAUGACAUUAAUCUAUUUUACAGCACAGUUUCAGCUGCAAUCGAUAUUUUAAUUAUCCAAAAACAAUGGAAAUGCAAAACUGGGUACUGCGCACGCGCGAAUGGGACAGUAUACUUUUUUACCAUUCCGCACGUGAUUGCUAAGGUAGCGGGCGACAGUCUUGUUUGGACAGUAAAUUUUAUCCCGCUGGUUGGUGCGGGAUGGGGUCUCCCUCCUGCGGGGGGGGGGGGGGGGGGGUUGGUUGUCUCCCCCUUGAAAAUUUUGGAAAAUUCAUUGCAGAUGGUGCGUUUUGGUGUUAUCUUUCAGCCACGUGUUGGCAAUUUAAUUCAUCACUUUCUUGCUUGAAAAAGACGUAUAAAAGGAAAUAUUAUAUUAAACAUUGUCAACAGCAAACAUACUUUCGACCAUAAGGCCAGAGUUUUUUUAUCUUCUGUUUAACGGGAGCGCCGUGUCCAAUUUUCCGAAAAGUGAUUAUUUUUUCCUCCGUAUCCAACAAAAGUGGUCUUCAAAGAAACGUUAUUAAAAGAGAAAUGUUGUAUCGUAUCAUGCAUAUACAUUUUAUUUCACUAUUAUUUCAUAAUGUUAACUAACGCUUCAUACCGAUUUUCGGGCUACUUGCACCGACAUGUGUGUGUUAACAAUACAACUGCGGAUAUGUCAAACAUCAUGCACAUUCAUGAAUAAUCAUUCUUGUUCACGAAUGAUUUAACUUACUACAAUCUUUUCAAAAUUGAAGUAGGACCGCCCUUCGCUGAGAAAAUAGUACCCAAAUUUGACACUGAAUAAAAUGUUUUACGAUAGACCGAUCGAAAUUUCGAAAGUAGGUCUAAAAACUAGAAAGUCUAACUUAAAUUACCAAAAGUAUUGUCCGCAAAUGAGAAUUAGGUAUCCGCAUCUUUAAACAAAACGCGCAUUUAUACCAUUUGACCUCGAUUUACCUGCAAGAGGGAGGCGCCAUUUUUGUUUUGCUUCGCUAAUCGGUAUCGUUCAUAAUAGUCGGAAUAAUUAAACCAUACUCGCGUUAACUAUACAGAAAACACCAGAAAAGUGUGUCUGGCUUUGUAAAAGAUGAAAGACUGCAAAGAGUAACGAUGGAGUAUCCAGGUCCCUUCUGCUAGGAAGUGGGACUCUGCUACAACUCCAUCAUAACCCAUCCAGGAGAGAAGAAAGGCCAACAGACUUAUCUUCUUCUAUAAGGUGGUUGAGAGCAGGUACCAGCCAUGCCUAGCCAAGACUUCCUCCCAGUCCAGCAAUCUAAACGCAGAGUUAACCCUAAGACUUUCUCAGACUUAAAAGGCAAAAGCAGAUAACAUUGUAGUUCUGGCAACCAUAACAUUAAAUGUCGCUUUUUAUGAUUUUUGACUGGCGCGACUUUAUAGUUAUGGACCAACCCCAUUAGGAAAGUCAACCAGAAAUUCCCGAAAGGUUGACAGUUAACAAAGACCGGUCCAAAAAAGGUUUUAAAUGCAGUUAUUGGCCCAAAUCAACAACUUGAUCGGAAAGAUUGACUUUUUUCACAUUUAACUGAUAUAUUCUUUCACAAAAUACUAUCUUAAACAUUUAAAAUUUAUCUAUUCUGCUCUUACAUAUCGAGAAAAACAGCGAUGUGACAGACUUUCUUGAAAUGCGAAAUUCCCGAGAUUUCACGGUCAUAUGACGUUAUUUCUAUUUUUAGUAACAUACCAUGUGCUCAAGUGAUUUCAAAUUCAGAAUGACAUUUCUUGGUAGUUUAGAUUAGUCUGGCUUGUUUUGUAAACAAAUUGUAGUUUAAAUACAAACUCAAAGUAAAUAUUAUUUAAAACUACCCGAUUCACACUGAAAUCAGUCUUAUAAUCCACCAGACGUAAGUUGUUAAUCACAAAUAAUAGAUUUCAGAAAACGAAAGUAAUGUUUUUACAAUUUCAGCAUAAAAUGUCAAGGUCGAUCCGAAAGUAUCCAAAUGAAAACUCGUCACGUGACAAAGCGACAAUGGCGUCAAAAUUGUGAAUUUCAGACUGAUGAGAGUUAUUUUGAUCUAUUGUGAGAUGCAUUUGAAACAUUUGAACCUUAAAAUAUUCCUCGAUGCAGCAAUUUAUAUUCAUUCACAAAUAUAUGUAGAAAUCUCUGGUUGACUUUCGAAACGGGGUUGGCUUCAGCGUACAGGUAUGUCAAUACUAUAUAAACUGUAAGCUCAAGUUUCUUUAGCUUAUAACAUUGUUGAAAAUUAUUAUAGAAAAAAAACUCUUAAGUGUUUCAUACAAAUCAAGUGUUAAACCCUACUAUGUAAAAACUAUUUAAUUUUCCUAUGACAUUAAUAGAGUGGAAUAAUCUAGAAGAAAGUUAAUUGCGCGCAGACACAGUUUGCAGUUUCAAUGGGACUAACCUGACAAGCCUCUCUACCAUUGUGCCAAUGUCGAAGAUCCCGGCAAAGUACCCAUCCAGAACCAAGCAAGUUGAAAAACCCAGUUCAUUGACACAUGGAAUCGUCGUUGAAAUAUUCAACUUCACGAAGAAGAAUAGUUUUACCUUAAGACAUUUUGUAGAAUUGCUCUGUAUGUUAAAUAAUGACUGUAAGAAUGUGUUCCCAUCAACUCUGACAUCACAAGUAAACAGUGUUCUUGAGUGUUAAAAGAAGUUAGUAGUAAGAAGAAAGCUCCAAGUUUUCAAACGGUUGAACAAUUACUGAGAAUAGACUUUAAUGUGUGUGUAAAAAAGAAAACUGUUUAAACAAUUGGUGAGUCAGUCGACUCAGUGCAAACUGCUAUUGGCUCUGAGCAAAAAUACGUCGUUUCUAACGAGGAAGGGUUAUUUCUAAUUAAAGGAACUCAAAAAAAUACUUCUCUAAAUUGUCAUUGAAUGUUUUAGUAUUGAAAUAUUGAGAUGUUUUAUUGAAUCGUACUAUAUGAAAGCACUUGAAAUUAUUGCAGUUUAUUUGUUUAAUGUUGUAUUGACUUAUUAAGGAUUUUCACCAUUUAAAAGCA
Dreissena polymorpha is the source of this 3801-nucleotide long non-coding RNA. RefSeq lists it as uncharacterized. Lineage: Eukaryota; Metazoa; Mollusca; Bivalvia; Myida; Dreissenidae. The transcript is spliced from 2 exons. The record is from RefSeq and is a predicted model, not a curated record.